CGGCGUCCCCCCGGCGGUACAACCUUCAAAACUCUGCAUAAUUGUCAUCUGAGCAUAAAGUUAAUUCAAUAAAACUUUCAACAACGGAUCUCUUGGUUCUGGCAUCGAUGAAGAACGCAGCGAAAUGCGAUAAGUAAUGUGAAUUGCAGAAUUCAGUGAAUCAUCGAAUCUUUGAACGCACAUUGCGCCCUUUGGCAUUCCGAAGGGCAUGCCUGUUCGAGCGUCAUUACACCAAUCAAGCCUGGCUUGGUAUUGGGCGACGGGGCUUGCUUCGAGCACCCGCGCCUCAAUGACCUCUCCGGCGGGACGGACCGUAUCUCAGCGUUGUGGUAAAAAGCCGCUGGCGAGACGGGACGGCCGUGCCGUUAAACCUCCAUUUUCUUAAGGUUGACCUCGGAUCAGGUAGGGAUACCCGCUGAACUUAAGCAUAUCAAUAA
RNAcentral lists this ribosomal RNA (437 nucleotides) under Teratosphaeriaceae sp. UFMGCB 5651. Its description in RNAcentral is "eukaryotic LSU rRNA". The stretch from base 73 to 226 matches the Rfam family "5.8S ribosomal RNA". The record is from RNAcentral. Lineage: Eukaryota; Fungi; Ascomycota; Dothideomycetes; Mycosphaerellales; Teratosphaeriaceae.